AACGAACGCUGGCGGCAUGCCUAACACAUGCAAGUCGAACGAGACCUUCGGGUCUAGUGGCGCACGGGUGCGUAACGCGUGGGAACCUGCCCUUAGGUUCGGAAUAACUCCCCGAAAGGGGUGCUAAUACCGGAUAAUGUCUUCGGACCAAAGAUUUAUCGCCUUUGGAUGGGCCCGCGUUGGAUUAGCUAGUUGGUAGGGUAAAAGCCUACCAAGGCGACGAUCCAUAGCUGGUCUGAGAGGAUGAUCAGCCACACUGGGACUGAGACACGGCCCAGACUCCUACGGGAAGCAGCAGUGGGGAAUAUUGGACAAUGGGCGAAAGCCUGAUCCAGCAAUGCCGCGUGAGUGAUGAAGGCCUUAGGGUUGUAAAGCUCCUUUACCCGGGAUGAUAAUGACAGUACCGGGAGAAUAAGCUCCGGCUAACUCCGUG
This 433-nucleotide ribosomal RNA is filed under the name uncultured bacterium. RNAcentral describes it as "partial 16S ribosomal RNA". It matches the Rfam family "Bacterial small subunit ribosomal RNA", at positions 29 to 507 of the family's 1533-position model. The record is from RNAcentral.